This 630-nucleotide ribosomal RNA is filed under the name Corynebacterium accolens. RNAcentral describes it as "bacterial SSU rRNA". It matches the Rfam family "Bacterial small subunit ribosomal RNA", at positions 380 to 1023 of the family's 1533-position model. Lineage: Bacteria; Bacillati; Actinomycetota; Actinomycetes; Mycobacteriales; Corynebacteriaceae. The record is from RNAcentral.
AGCCUGAUGCAGCGACGCCGCGUGGGGGAUGAAGGCCUUCGGGUUGUAAACUCCUUUCGCUAGGGACGAAGCUUUUGUGACGGUACCUAGAUAAGAAGCACCGGCUAACUACGUGCCAGCAGCCGCGGUAAUACGUAGGGUGCGAGCGUUGUCCGGAAUUACUGGGCGUAAAGAGCUCGUAGGUGGUUUGUCGCGUCGUCUGUGAAAUUCCGGGGCUUAACUCCGGGCGUGCAGGCGAUACGGGCUAACUUGAGUACUGUAGGGGUAACUGGAAUUCCUGGUGUAGCGGUGAAAUGCGCAGAUAUCAGGAGGAACACCGAUGGCGAAGGCAGGUUACUGGGCAGUUACUGACGCUGAGGAGCGAAAGCAUGGGUAGCGAACAGGAUUAGAUACCCUGGUAGUCCAUGCCGUAAACGGUGGGCGCUAGGUGUGAGGGACUUCCACGUCUUUCGUGCCGUAGCUAACGCAUUAAGCGCCCCGCCUGGGGAGUACGGCCGCAAGGCUAAAACUCAAAGGAAUUGACGGGGGCCCGCACAAGCGGCGGAGCAUGUGGAUUAAUUCGAUGAAAGGCGAAGAACCUUACCUGGGCUUGACAUACACCAUUUCGCGAGAGAGAUACGGUUUCCCUUG